UUUAAGGUCUAAUCUGCCCUAUGAGGAAUUAAAUGGCCGCGGUACUUUGACCGUGCAAAGGUAGCAUAAUAAUUAGUUUUUUAAUUGAAAGCUAGUAUGAAUGAUUGGACGAGAAAAUAGCUGUCUCAAUUUAAAUUGAUUAGAAUUUUAUUUUUAAGUAAGAAAGCUUAAAUUUUUUUAAAAGACGAGAAGACCCUAUAGAGUUUUAUAUUUAUAUUAUUAUAGAAUUAUUGGUAUUCUUUUAUCUAUAUUUAUAUAAGUAUUUUAUUGGGGCGAUAGGAAAAUAUAAUAAACUUUUUCUUUUAUUUUUACAUUAAUUUAUGAAAUUUUGAUCCAUUAUUUUUGAUUAUAAGAUUAAAUUACCUUAGGGAUAACAGCGUAAUUUUUUUUUAGAGUUCUUAUCGAAAAAAUAGAUUGCGACCUCGAUGUUGGAUUAAAAUAAACGUUUGGUGCAGGAGCUAAAUAGUUAGGUCUGUUCGACCUUUUAAAUUUUACA
This 496-nucleotide ribosomal RNA is filed under the name Hyposerica sp. DA4297. RNAcentral describes it as "partial 16S large subunit ribosomal RNA". It matches the Rfam family "Bacterial large subunit ribosomal RNA", at positions 1844 to 2600 of the family's 2925-position model. Lineage: Eukaryota; Metazoa; Arthropoda; Insecta; Coleoptera; Scarabaeidae. The record is from RNAcentral.